This 1577-nucleotide long non-coding RNA is filed under the name Acyrthosiphon pisum (pea aphid). Its description in RNAcentral is "uncharacterized LOC115033863". Lineage: Eukaryota; Metazoa; Arthropoda; Insecta; Hemiptera; Aphididae. The record is from RNAcentral.
UCGAAAUUUUCUUAAAAUAUCAAUAUAAAAAUGUUUGUUGGGUCAAAAAGCUUUAAAAUUGAAUACAAGAUUCCUCAUAAUAGUCAUUAAGACUGGAAUUAAAAAAUAAAAAAAGCUGACCAUAAUUGCAAAAUUUUAGCGUACAUUUUUUUGGGAUGUCUGAAUUUGACGAAAUUGGAAAUAUAACGAUUCUUGUCUGACGAUUUUUUCGUAGGCCGCGUUGGUAUAAUAUCUGCUCGGAAUUGUUUUUCGUUUACGCAAAGAUUUAUCAGUUUAUUCAAAUUUAACACGUCGUAUACAUUACACGGUGACUUAGUCAACGACGAGGUACUUGACGCACCCAUACAGAACGCUGUGAAAUAGAGCUGUUACGUAUCUUUUUUUUUUAAACAUUACGUCGUUGAUAAUAAUUGUGUGCGAUUAAAACGCGUUUUUGUCCGGCGGUGCUUGUCUCCGUUUGUUGUGCCGGCGCGUUGAGUGCGAAUAACAACGCAGCUCGCAGUCGUCGUAGUGUGGUUUUGGGAUUCAAUUUCGAACAAUUACAACGCGUUUUGAAGAAAACGAUCUCCAUUUCACCUGUUGCGAGUAUACAGUGAUACUUAAUACACACGAGACGGCGGCGGCGGUGCCCAUUACAUUCGGUCCUCUCUCUCUCUCUCUCUCUCAAUCUAUCUCACUCUUUGGAGCGUCCGUCUAAAUGUCAAAACGGCCGUGUAAUCCCCGUGAAAUUUGGCCGAAAAAAAACAAAACAGAAGAGAAGAACGAGAGAGAGAGAGGCGUAGACAGAGAGAGACAGAGACAGAGAGAAAAAAAGAGGCAGGGAUAAUUGAAGGGGUGAAAAAAGGUACAUCGCCAAGCGGUCGGGUCGAGGGGAGGGUACACAAGCGCGGAAUAGGGGUGUGCGUUGCGGAAAUGGCGCCGGCGCUGGCGAUUUGGCGGCAUUCGCGAAACGUCAGCACCGACCACGCUGCAGUAUAGUCACCGUCGGUCGUGUCAGCGGAUGCCCCCUAAAGCGGCAAUACCGUUUGUCGAACGAUUUAUCGUAUUAUAUCGGAAAAUCGGAAAUAACAUCGUGGUAGACUUGACGCGGAAUAAAAAAAUUUUUAAACAUUUAUUGUUAUAAAUUAUUAUUUUUUUUUUUCCAAUACGUACGUAUUAGAAUAUUAUUACAUAAUGAUCACGAUUUUACGUUAUUAUUAAUAUUAUACUAUUGUAUACUUUUUGUGUCAAUCGAACGAGACAAUAUAUUAAUAUUAUAAUACAGAUAAACGCAAUAAAAUUAUUUAUGAUACGCGAUCGUCGUCGGCUGUGGGUUUGGGGAAAAUAAUUUCGCAUCGAACGUCCUCUGUACUUUGCGAAAUCUGUUUUAGCUUGCGGUGGUAGUGGCUGAGGUAAACACGAUGACAGUGUUAAAAGCGUGUCGAGUGAAAGGUGUCCCCUUGUGAAAAAUCUAGAGGACAAUCCAUUUUGCUCAGAGCGCGUGCGUUGAAAUCCUCGUCGAUUGUGAUGUACACAAGUCCGGGUCACGUCUCGUUGUUCGACUGAGAUCAAAAAAAAAAAAAAUUAGAAAUUAAAUC